AUAAAAAAAAUCUUAAAUAAAUAUCAAAUAAAUCUUAAAGAAAUAUCAAAUAAAAAAAAUUCAAAAAAUCCUAUUAAAAUUCUAAUCAAAUCCUAAACCAAUCCUAAAUCAAUCCUAAAGAGAAUCUAAUAAAAUCUUAAAUCAAUUCUAACCAAAUUCUAAUAAAAUCCUAAAUGAAUUCUAAAUAAAUCCUAAUGAUAUCCUAAAUCAAUCCAAAUCAAAUUCUAGUAUAAUCUUAACUCAAUCCUAACCAAAUCUUAAUAAAAUCCUAAACCAAUCAUAGUAAAAUCUAAAUGAAAUCCUAAACCAAUCUUAAUCAAAUUCUAAUCAAACUCUAAAUCAAUUCUAAUCAAACUCUAAUAUAAUCCUAAACCAAUUUUAAAGAGAUCCUAAUGAAAUACUAAAUAAAACUAAGCCAAAUCCUAAUAUGAUCCUAAAUAAAUCCUA
Molecule: long non-coding RNA, 447 nt
Filed under: Physcomitrium patens
Lineage: Eukaryota; Viridiplantae; Streptophyta; Bryopsida; Funariales; Funariaceae
Description: long non-coding RNA (PPAT_LNC008933)
Source: RNAcentral